GAUGAACGCUAGCGAUAGGCCUAACACAUGCAAGUCGAGGGGCAUCACAUGAAGUAGCAAUACGGAUGGUGGCGACCGGCGCACGGGUGAGUAACACGUAUGCAACCUGCCUUCAACAAGGGGAUAACCCGUUGAAAGACGGACUAAUACCCUAUAACACAGGGGUCCCGCAUGGGAAUAUUUGUUAAAGGACAACCGGUUGAAGAUGGGCAUGCGUUCCAUUAGCUAGUUGGCGGGGUAACGGCCCACCAAGGCAACGAUGGAUAGGGGAACUGAGAGGUUUAUCCCCCACACUGGUACUGAGACACGGACCAGACUCCUACGGGAGGCAGCAGUGAGGAAUAUUGGUCAAUGGACGCAAGUCUGAACCAGCCACGUCGCGUGAAGGAAGACGGCCCUACGGGUUGUAAACUUCUUUUAUACGGGGAAUAAAGUGCCCCACGCGUGGGGUUUUGCAUGUACCGUAUGAA
Molecule: ribosomal RNA, 470 nt
Filed under: uncultured bacterium
Lineage: Bacteria
Description: bacterial SSU rRNA
Rfam family: Bacterial small subunit ribosomal RNA
Source: RNAcentral